Long non-coding RNA from Homo sapiens (human), 1981 nucleotides. The record is from Ensembl. Lineage: Eukaryota; Metazoa; Chordata; Mammalia; Primates; Hominidae.
GACGCAGCUGGCUGGCCUUCUGCUCCUUGUCUCCCGGAGGCUCCCUGCCCUCAGCAAUAGAAGUGCCCUGGUCUUUGCCAGAACCAAACAGUGGUCACAGCUAGGACCUGCACCGGGGGUCCUGAAUCCACCUUGCCCGGUGCCCAGAUGCCCCUCCUGCUCUCUGGAUGGAGCCCACCCUCAACAAGCACUCCGGCAGGACCAGGUUCCAUGAAGACAAUGCCACUUGGAAUCUGAUAACCUCCUUUGCAUCCAGAAGCAGCCAUGGGACCCAAACCUGACCAAUGCAACGAGAGAGUCAAUAUUCUGAGGUGGGAAGAGUUCAAGGAAAAAUUUUGUUUCGUAAUGCAACGGAGGCACAAGAAGAAACUCUCCUUCCUGCCUUUGAAAAUAAUUGGUUGAGAACAACAUGCUGGAACCGAAGCAGCCUUUCUCUCUGACUGGUCCAGGGAUGAGUAUGUGACACUUAAGUCCAACGAGAUGCAAUGAGACUUUUGUUGUGGCUUCUGGGAGUGCCAGAGGCUCUUUUCUACCAGGCUUAGUCAGCCUUGCAGCCACAGCAGGAGAUGCUAAGAACCGCCCUGAGAGGGAAAAAGAGGAGCAGAGGGAUCAAGAGACACUCAUCAGGAACUGCUGACAUUUGAGCCUCUGGAUCUGGCUGUGCCUGAAACUAACAAGCUACUCCUUCCACAUUCUAGUUAUCUGAUAUUAUAAAUUUAUUUCAUUUAAAGCUAUUUAACUUAGGUUUUGUUGUUGUUGCAUGCAACCAAGAGUGCUGACUGAUACAAUCUUCCAAUUAUAUGCUGUUUUUACUUUAAAAGGGGUGUUUGGUGUCUCAGCCUGAAAGGAGCAGUAAUGGUAGGAUUGAGGGCACAUAGCAAUCCAGGAAGAAGGCAAUGGUACAUAGACCCCUGAAAUCAUACCAGAUGGCCAGUUACUACUCAGUCUCUAGAUUCAGCUGGUUCUGCAAGAAGAGUUAUCAAGCUAUCAGCUUUCUCUUGCAGGCAUCCUUCUGUACCUUUAAGACAGAGCAUCUAAUUAGCUUUGGGUGGUUUCAGUUAGGCGUAUAGUGGAGAAAUUAAGAAAACAUUAAAACCAGGACCAUUGGAACAUGAGGAUGUGCGGCUUAAGAUUUACCCAAGAGGGGCUGACCUCAAUUAGGACGUUGAUGCUGGAUUGGGUGCUCUGGUUUUCCUCUACUUUAAAAACUGUUGGAUCCCUGAUAUGCCAAGACCCCAGAGAGAUGGAGAAACGUUUACGUGCAUGGAGGAAAAAAUAUCUUUUUAGAGUUACAAAGUGAGAAUCACAGUUAUUCUACCACUAUUAAGCCAGAAAAUCAUUGUCUAAAAUGGAUAUUUUUUUCUUUUUUAAUGUGUAAAUGAGCUUCUUGGUUGGUUUAAAGGGGCAAAGAUUCCCAUCAGCCUUCAGAGCUGGUCACUCAUCAGUGGAUUGGUAAAUGCAGAAUGGGGUUCGAGUCUGUAUCUUCUUUAGUGGAACAGUGGGUAAUGUCGUUUUGACUCACGAAUCAGUUUCCUUCACUCUUCUGGGCUAAUGACCCACUUCCUCCGGCUUCCCUUAGCUGCACCUGGUGUUUCUGUGGGAAAGGCCUUCACACUGACAUUCUUAUUUGAUAGUGAAUGUUGAUGGACACCAGGCCUGCUUAUGCACAAGAGCUUCUGACCUGGGAUCAGAGAAGGAAACGGAAUUUUAAAGAAAUGUCUCAAGAGUCAGAGAAGGCAGGAGCCGAGAAGUGAUCACUACUGACCUCAAGCUCAAAGACCUAUGGGAAGUAGCAAAAUUCAACAGGAUGAGUGGUGAAUCCCUGGGUCCUUGGUCAAAGGUCCUGAGGUCCUGAGGUCAAAUCAGAAGAGAAAAUGCAAAUUUGUCCAUGUAAGAAAUUUAUUCCAAAAAGUCAGAUACAAAAAUUUGACUUGACAAAGCAUGGUGGGUUUUGUAAAAAAAAAUAAAUGGUUAUAAAGAG